UUGAAUAUAGAUAGAUAGAUAGAUAGAUAGAUAGAUAGAUAGAUAGAUAGAUAGAUAGAUGAGUUUGAUGAUAGAUAGAUAGAUAGAUAGAUAGAUAGAUAGAUAGAUAGAUAGAUAGAUAGAUAGAUUAGUUUUAAUAUAGAUAGAGAAGUUUGAUAGAUAGAUAGAUAGAUAGAUAGAUAGAUAGAUAGAUAGAUAGAUUAGUUUUAAUAUAGAUAGAGAAAUGAGUUUGAAUAUAGAUAGAUAGAUAGAUGAGUUUGAUUAUAGAUAGAUGAGUUUGAUUAUAGAUAGAUAGAUAGAUAGAUAGAUAGAUGAGUUUGAUUAUAGAUAGAUAGAUGAGUUUGAUUAUAGAUAGAUAGAAACAGUUAGAUAGAUAGAUAGAUAGAGUUUGAUUAUAGAUAGAUAGAUAGAUAGAUAGAUAGAUAGAUAGAUAGAUAGAUAGAUAGAUAGAUAGAUAGAUAGAUAGAUGAAUAUAUAUGAUAUGAUAGAUGAGUUUGAAUGGGUUAGUAAUAGUACAUACAAUAUGUACAUAGUACAUAGACUAUGAGUUUAAUGGGCUUCAGUGUGUUUAGAUUUGAAUUUUUGACAGUUGGAGUUUGACGGAAUGUUCAGUUGAGCAGAGGCUUUUCAAUGUAAGUCUAUGGGAGUUUUUAUGAUUUUUAAUCUUCAGUUUUAUGAAAAGUCUAAGUCCGAUCAGUCUAAAAAGAUAUAGCAACUAACUUCAGAUCAGUCUGAAGAGCUGGGCUGAGUUUGGAGUUUGUAGAGUUAAAGCUCUAGGAGGAGUAGCAGUCAAAAUUUUAGUCUCAGAAGAAUAAUAAUAACUAGAUAAAAAAGUUCGUCAAGACAAACUUUAAGUUGGCUUGAGAAAGCCUGGCCAGUUUAAAGAGUUUAAAAUUAAAUUUUAAGUUAAGUUAAAAAGUUUGAUAAUUGCUAUGCAGUUGCUAGGGUACCCGGAGUGGUUGCUAAGGUGUUGCUAUGUGGUUGCUAGGGUACCCUGAGUGGUUGCUAGGGUGUUGCUAUGCGGUUGCUAGGGUACCUGGGAUGGUUGCUAGGGUGUUGCUAUGCGGUUGCUAGGGUACCCUGAGUGGUUGCUAAGGUGUUGCUAUGCGGUUGCUAGGUUACCUGGGAUGGUUGCUAGGGUGUUGCUAUGCGGUUGCUAGGGUACCCUGAGUGGUUGCUAAGGUGUUGCUAUGCGGUUGCUAGGGUAUCUGGGAUGGUUGCUAGGGUGUUGCUAUGCGGUUGCUAGGGUACCCCGAGUGGUUGCUAAGGUGUUGCUAUGCGGUUGCUAGGGUAUCUGGGAUGGUUGCUAGGGUGUUGCUAUGCGGUUGCUAGGGUACCCUGAGUGGUUGCUAAGGUGUUGCUAUGCGGUUGCUAUGGUAUCUGGGAUGGUUGCUAGGGUGUUGCUAUGCGGUUGCUAGGGUACCCUGAGUGGUUGCUAAGGUGUUGCUAUGCGGUUGCUAGGGUAUCUGGGAUGGUUGCUAGGGUGUUGCUAUGAGGUUGCUAGGGUACCCUGAGUGGUUGCUAAGGUGUUGCUAUGCGGUUGCUAGGGUAUCUGGGAUGGUUGCUAGGGUGUUGCUAUGCGGUUGCUAGGGUACCCUGAGUGGUUGCUAAGGUGUUGCUAUGCGGUUGCUAGGGUAUCUGGGAUGGUUGCUAGGGUGUUGCUAUGCGGUUGCUAGGGUACCCUGAGUGGUUGCUAAGGUGUUGCUAUGCGGUUGCUAGGGUAUCUGGGAUGGUUGCUAGGGUGUUGCUAUGCGGUUGCUAGGGUACCCUGAGUGGUUGCUAAGGUGUUGCUAUGUGGUUGCUAGGAUACCCUGGGUGGUUUCUAGGUUGGUUUGGAUAGUUGCUAGAGUGUUGCUAUGAAGAUAGAUAGAUAGAUAGAUAGAUAGAUAGAUAGAUAGAUAGAUAGAUAGAUUAGAAACAGUCAGAUUAUAGAUAGAUAGAUAGAUUAGAAACAGACAGAUUAUAGAUAGAUAGAUAGUUUAGAAGCAGACAGAUUAUAGAUAGAUAGAUAGAUAGAUAGAUAGAUAGAUAGAUAGAUAGAUAGAUAGAUAGAUAGAUUAGAAACAGUCUGAUUAUAGAUAGAU
This is a long non-coding RNA of Carassius gibelio (silver crucian carp), 2084 nucleotides long. RefSeq lists it as uncharacterized. The transcript is spliced from 7 exons. The record is from RefSeq and is a predicted model, not a curated record. Lineage: Eukaryota; Metazoa; Chordata; Actinopteri; Cypriniformes; Cyprinidae.